This 460-nucleotide ribosomal RNA is filed under the name uncultured bacterium. Its description in RNAcentral is "partial 16S ribosomal RNA". It matches the Rfam family "Bacterial small subunit ribosomal RNA", at positions 338 to 795 of the family's 1533-position model. The record is from RNAcentral.
CCUACGGGCGGCAGCAGUGAGGAAUAUUGGUCAAUGGACGAGAGUCUGAACCAGCCAAGUAGCGUGAAGGAUGACUGCCCUAUGGGUUGUAAACUUCUUUUAUAUGGGAAUAAAAUGUUCCACGUGUGGGAUUUUGUAUGUACCAUAUGAAUAAGGAUCGGCUAACUCCGUGCCAGCAGCCGCGGUAAUACGGAGGAUCCGAGCGUUAUCCGGAUUUAUUGGGUUUAAAGGGAGCGUAGGUGGAUUGUUAAGUCAGUUGUGAAAGUUUGCGGCUCAACCGUAAAAUUGCAGUUGAAACUGGCAGGCUUGAGGACAGUAGAGGUGGGCGGAAUUCGUGGUGUAGCGGUGAAAUGCUUAGAUAUCACGAAGAACUCCGAUUGCGAAGGCAGCUCACUGGACUGCAACUGACACUGAGGCUCGAAAGUGUGGGUAUCAAACAGGAUUAGAUACCCCAGUAGUC